AAGACCUUGCGCUUUUGGAGCGGCCGAUGCCUGAUUGGCUUGUUGGUAAGGUAAAAGCUUACCAAGGCUUCGAUCAGUAGCUGGUCUGAGAGGACGACCAGCCACACUGGGACUGAGACACGGCCCAGACUCCUACGGGAGGCAGCAGUGGGGAAUUUUGGACAAUGGGGGCAACCCUGAUCCAGCCAUGCCGCGUGAGUGAAGAAGGCCUUCGGGUUGUAAAGCUCUUUCAGCCGGAACGAAACGGUUACGGAUAACACCCGUGACUACUGACGGUACCGGAAGAAGAAGCACCGGCUAACUACGUACCAGCAGCCGCGGUAAUACGUAGGGUGCGAGCGUUAAUCGGAAUUACUGGGCGUAAAGCGUGCGCAGGUGGUUUUGUAAGUCAGAUGUGAAAGCCCCGGGCUCAACCUGGGAACU
Molecule: ribosomal RNA, 423 nt
Filed under: uncultured bacterium
Lineage: Bacteria
Description: bacterial SSU rRNA
Rfam family: Bacterial small subunit ribosomal RNA
Source: RNAcentral